This 368-nucleotide ribosomal RNA is filed under the name uncultured bacterium. RNAcentral describes it as "bacterial SSU rRNA". It matches the Rfam family "Bacterial small subunit ribosomal RNA", at positions 1000 to 1365 of the family's 1533-position model. The record is from RNAcentral.
UCUGGUAAUGCAGAACCUCUUCGGACGUUAGGAGACAGGUGGUGCAUGGUUGUCGUCAGCUCGUGUCGUGAGAUGUUUGGGUUAAGUCCCGCAACGAGCGCAACCCUUAUCUUUAGUAGCCAGCAGUAAGAUGGGAACUCUAAGAGGAGACUGCCGGGGAUAACCGGGAGGAAGGUGGGGAUGACGUCAAAUCAUCAUGCCCCUUAUGACCAGGGCUACACACGUGCUACAAUGGCGUAAACAAAGUGAAGCGAACCCGUCGAGGGUGAGGCAAAUCACCAAAAAUAACGUCUCAGUUCGGAUUGUAGUCUGCAACUCGACUACAUGAAGCUGGAAUCGCUAUAAUCGCGAAUCAAAUGUCGCGGUGA